This 260-nucleotide long non-coding RNA is filed under the name Mytilus galloprovincialis (Mediterranean mussel). The record is from RNAcentral. Lineage: Eukaryota; Metazoa; Mollusca; Bivalvia; Mytilida; Mytilidae.
UUAAACCAGAUGCUCCGCAGGGCGUAGCUUUAUACGACCGCAGAGGUUGAACCCUGAACGGUUGGGGCAAGUAUGGACACAACAUUCAAGCUGGAUUCAGCUCUAAAUUUGGAUUGUAUUUAAAUAGUUGACACAGCAUAGGUUUCUGACACAGAAUGAAUGUGUUCUAAUGAACUUAAAAUUUGUGUUUUCUCUUAGAGCAAUUCACUAUGCUGUUGAAUAUUAAUCCUCUCAAAACAAGAAUGUGUCCUCAGUACACG